Molecule: ribosomal RNA, 497 nt
Filed under: uncultured bacterium
Lineage: Bacteria
Description: partial 16S ribosomal RNA
Rfam family: Bacterial small subunit ribosomal RNA
Source: RNAcentral
GAUGAACGCUGGCGGCGUGCCUAAUACAUGCAAGUCGAGCGAACAGACGAGGAGCUUGCUCCUCUGACGUUAGCGGCGGACGGGUGAGUAACACGUGGAUAACCUACCUAUAAGACUGGGAUAACUUCGGGAAACCGGAGCUAAUACCGGAUAAUAUAUUGAACCGCAUGGUUCAAUAGUGAAAGACGGUUUUGCUGUCACUUAUAGAUGGAUCCGCGCCGCAUUAGCUAGUUGGUAAGGUAACGGCUUACCAAGGCAACGAUGCGUAGCCGACCUGAGAGGGUGGUCCGCCAAACUGGAAACGGAGCACGGUCCCGACUCCGUAGGGAGGCAAGAGGUGGGGAAUCUCCGGCAAUGGCGAAAGCCUGACGGAGCAACGCCGCGUGAGUGAUGAAGGUCUUCGGAUCGUAAAACUCUGUUAUUAGGGAAGAACAAAUGUGUAAGUAACUAUGCACGUCUUGACGGUACCUAAUCAGAAAGCCACGGCUAACUACGUG